This 1190-nucleotide ribosomal RNA is filed under the name uncultured marine eukaryote. Its description in RNAcentral is "SSU rRNA". It matches the Rfam family "Eukaryotic small subunit ribosomal RNA", at positions 411 to 1618 of the family's 1831-position model. The record is from RNAcentral.
CACUUCUAAGGAAGGCAGCAGGCGCGCAAAUUACCCAAUCCUGACUCAGGGAGGUAGUGACAAGAAAUAACAAUAAACCGGCUUAUGCCGGUUUAAUUGGAAUGAGUACAAUUUAAACAUCUUAACGAGGAACAAUUGGAGGGCAAGUCUGGUGCCAGCAGCCGCGGUAAUUCCAGCUCCAAUAGCGUAUACUAAAGUUGUUGCAGUUAAAAAGCUCGUAGUUGGAUUUCUGUGGGGACGGAGCGGCCGGCCGCACAUCGCGGUUCGAGCUAGCGCUUUCCCUACAUCCUGCCGCGAACCGUGCUACCAUUAGUUUGGUGGCGCCGGGGAUCGGCUCGAUUACUUUGAGAAAAAUAGAGUGUUCAAAGCAGGCCACAUGCCUUGAAUAAGUUAGCAUGGAAUAAUAACUAAGGACUUCGGUUCUAUUUUGUUGGUGUUCGGGACUGAAGUAAUGAUUGAUAGGGACAGUUGGGGCGGUCUGUAUUCCAAAGCGAGAGGUGAAAUUCUUAGACCUUCGGAAGACAAACAGCUGCGAAAGCGUUCCGCAAGGAUGUUCCCUUUGAUCAAGAACGAAAGUUGGGGGAUCGAAGACGAUCAGAUACCGUCGUAGUCUCAACUAUAAACUAUACCAGCUAGGGAUCGGCCAACGUUAUUUUAUACCGACUUGGUCGGCACCUUAUGAGAAAUCAAAGCAUCUGGGUUCCGGGGGGAGUAUGGUCGCAAGGCUGAAACUUAAAGGAAUUGACGGAAGGGCACCACCAGCCGUGGAGCCUGUGGCUUAAUUUGACUCAACACGGGAAAACUUACCAGGUCCAGACAUAGUAAGGAUUGACAGAUUGAUAGCUCUUUCUUGAUUCUGUGGGUGGUGGUGCAUGGCCGUUCUUAGUUGGUGGAGUGAUUUGUCUGGUUAAUUCCGUUAACGAACGAGACCCCAGCCUGCUAAAUAGCGCGCGUGAGCUUUGCUCGCGGCGAGCUUCUUAGAGGGACUAUGAUGCGCGAUAGCACAUGGAAGUUUGGGGCAAUAACAGGUCUGUGAUGCCCUUAGAUGUUCUGGGCCGCACACGGGCUACACUGGCGCCUGCAACGAGCAUAUCAGCUGGCCCGAGAGGGUCUUGGCUAAUCUUUUGAACCGGCGCCGUGCUUGGGAUUGACCUUUGCAAUUGUUGGUCAUGCAACGAGGAAUGCCUUGA